GUGUGCAGAGAUUAUCUAAUCAAUAAGGUUAUCCCGGCAAUUCAAGAUAAGUGGCCUGACGAUGAUGAGGGAGCAACAAUAUUCAUCCAACAGGAUAACGCAAAGCCUCAUGUCCUUCCCAAUGAUGUAGCUUUUCGAGAAGCUGUGGAACAAACUGAUCUUGACAUCCGAUUGCUACAACAGCCCCCAAAUAGCCCCGAGUUAAAUUGUUUGGACCUCUGCUUCCAUAGCUCUCUCCAGUCUCUAACCGACUGCAGGUCACCUACAAACAUCCAGGAACUGGUACAGGGUGUGGAAGAGGAAUUCGAGAACUACGAUCCCGACAAGUUGCACAGAAGCUUUAUCACAUUAGAAGCAGUUAUGUUUGAAGUUAUGAAAGACAAAGGAGGAAAUCAAUAUAGUUGCCCCACUUGCACAAGGAUCGUGUUCAGAAUGCUGGAAUGGAAAUAA
This 450-nucleotide ribosomal RNA is filed under the name Triticum aestivum (bread wheat). RNAcentral's name for it is "partial small subunit ribosomal RNA". The record is from RNAcentral. Lineage: Eukaryota; Viridiplantae; Streptophyta; Magnoliopsida; Poales; Poaceae.